UGGGGAAUCUUGGACAAUGGGCGCAAGCCUGAUCCAGCCAUGCCGCGUGUGUGAAGAAGGUCUUCGGAUUGUAAAGCACUUUAAGUUGGGAGGAAGGGUUGUAGAUUAAUACUCUGCAAUUUUGACGUUACCGACAGAAUAAGCACCGGCUAACUCUGUGCCAGCAGCCGCGGUAAUACAGAGGGUGCAAGCGUUAAUCGGAAUUACUGGGCGUAAAGCGCGCGUAGGUGGUUUGUUAAGUUGGAUGUGAAAUCCCCGGGCUCAACCUGGGAACUGCAUCCAAAACUGGCAAGCUAGAGUAUGGUAGAGGGUGGUGGAAUUUCCUGUGUAGCGGUGAAAUGCGUAGAUAUAGGAAGGAACACCAGUGGCGAAGGCGACCACCUGGGCCGAAACUGACGCUGAGGAGCGAAAGCAUGGGUAGCAAACAGGAUUAGAUACCCCUGUAGUCCCUGAGCGGGCUGGCAAGGCGCAU
RNAcentral lists this ribosomal RNA (472 nucleotides) under uncultured bacterium. RNAcentral's name for it is "bacterial SSU rRNA". It matches the Rfam family "Bacterial small subunit ribosomal RNA", at positions 355 to 825 of the family's 1533-position model. The record is from RNAcentral.